This 493-nucleotide ribosomal RNA is filed under the name uncultured bacterium. RNAcentral's name for it is "partial 16S ribosomal RNA". It matches the Rfam family "Bacterial small subunit ribosomal RNA", at positions 29 to 523 of the family's 1533-position model. The record is from RNAcentral.
AUUGAACGCUGGCGGCAUGCUUUACACAUGCAAGUCGAACGGUAACAGGUUAAGCUGACGAGUGGCGAACGGGUGGGUAAUGCAUCGGAACGUGCCCGGUCGUGGGGGAUAACGCAGCGAAAGCUGCGCUAAUACCGCAUACGAUCUGAGGAUGAAGGCGGGGGACCGUAAGGCCUCGCGCGAUCGGAGCGGCCGAUGUCAGAUUAGGUAGUUGGUGGGGUAAAGGCUCACCAAGCCGACGAUCUGUAGCUGGUCUGAGAGGACGACCAGCCACACUGGGACUGAGACACGGCCCAGACUCCUACGGGAGGCAGCAGUGGGGAAUUUUGGACAAUGGGCGCAAGCCUGAUCCAGCAAUGCCGCGUGCAGGAAGAAGGCCUUCGGGUUGUAAACUGCUUUUGUACGGAGCGAAAAGGCUCUCUCUAAUACAGGGGGCUCAUGACGGUACCGUAAGAAUAAGCACCGGCUAACUACGUGCCAGCAGCCGCUGUAA